UACGGAGGGUGCAAGCGUUAUCCGGGAUUCACUGGGUUUAAAGGGUGCGUAGGCGGCCAGUUAAGUCAGGGGUGAAAGACGGUAGCUCAACUAUCGCAGUGCCUUUGAUACUGAUUGGCUUGAAUGUACUUGAGGUAGGCGGAAUGUGACAAGUAGCGGUGAAAUGCAUAGAUAUGUCACAGAACACCAAUUGCGAAGGCAGCUUACUAAAGUAUGAUUGACGCUGAGGCACGAAAGCGUGGGGAUCAAACAGG
This 254-nucleotide ribosomal RNA is filed under the name uncultured bacterium. Its description in RNAcentral is "partial 16S ribosomal RNA". It matches the Rfam family "Bacterial small subunit ribosomal RNA", at positions 524 to 776 of the family's 1533-position model. The record is from RNAcentral.